AAUAUUGCACAAUGGAGGGAACUCUGAUGCAGCAACGCCGCGUGAGUGAAGAAGGUUUUCGGAUCGUAAAAUUCUGUCAUUGGGGAAGAAUAAAUGACGGUACCCACGCAGGAAGCCCCGCCCAACCACGCGCCCGCAGCCUCGGUAAUACGUAGGGGGCGAGCGUUGUCCGGAAUUACUGGGCGUAAAGGUUACGUAGGCGGCUAUAUAAGUCAGGUGUGAAAUACCAGUGCUUAACACUGGAAUUGCAUUUGAAACUGUGUAGCUUGAGUGCAGGAGAGGAAAGUGGAAUUCCUAGUGUAGCGGUGAAAUGCGUAGAAAUUAGGAGGAACACCAGUGGCGAAGGCGACUUUCUGGACUGUAACUGACGCUGAGGUACGAAAGCGUGGGUAGCGAACA
Molecule: ribosomal RNA, 399 nt
Filed under: uncultured bacterium
Lineage: Bacteria
Description: partial 16S ribosomal RNA
Rfam family: Bacterial small subunit ribosomal RNA
Source: RNAcentral